GACGAACGCUGGCGGCGUGCUUAACACAUGCAAGUCGAACGGAAAGGCCCUGCUUUUGUGGGGUGCUCGAGUGGCGAACGGGUGAGAAACACGUGAGUAACCUGCCUUUGACUUUGGUAUAACUUCAGGAAACUGGGGCUAAUACCGGAUAGUAGCUCCUGCUGCAUGGUUGGUGUUGGAAAGUUUCGGCGGUUGGGGAUGGACUCGCGGCUUUUCAGUUUGUUGGUGGGGUAGUGGCUUACCAAGGCUUUGACGGGUAGCCGGCCUGAGAGGGUGACCGGCCACAUUGGGACUGAGAUACGGGCCAGACUACUAAGGGAGGCAGCAGUGGGGAAUAUUGCACAAUGGGCGGAAGCCUGAUGCAGCAACGCCGCGUGCGGGAUGACGGCCUUCGGGUUGUAAACCGCUUUCGCCUGUGACGAAGCGUGAGUGAAGGUAAUGGGUAAAGAAGCACCGGCUAACUACGUG
Molecule: ribosomal RNA, 468 nt
Filed under: uncultured bacterium
Lineage: Bacteria
Description: partial 16S ribosomal RNA
Rfam family: Bacterial small subunit ribosomal RNA
Source: RNAcentral